This 583-nucleotide ribosomal RNA is filed under the name uncultured Actinomycetes bacterium. Its description in RNAcentral is "bacterial SSU rRNA". It matches the Rfam family "Bacterial small subunit ribosomal RNA", at positions 56 to 651 of the family's 1533-position model. Lineage: Bacteria; Bacillati; Actinomycetota; Actinomycetes. The record is from RNAcentral.
UGCAAGUCGAACGAUGAAGUGGAGCUUGCUCCACGGAUUAGUGGCGAACGGGCUGAGUAACACGUGAAUAACCUGCCCUCAAUUUCGGAAUAACCCAGGGAAACCUGGGCUAAUACCGGAUACGUAAACCUGUGGCAUCACAUGGUUUUGGAAAGUUUUUCGAUUGAGGAUGGAUUCGCGGCCUAUCAGCUUGUUGGUGAGGUAAUGGCUCACCAAGGCGACGACGGGUAGCCGGCCUGAGAGGGUGAACGGCCACACUGGGACUGAGACACGGCCCAGACUCCUACGGGAGGCAGCAGUGGGGAAUAUUGCGCAAUGGACGAAAGUCUGACGCAGCGACGCCUCGUGAGGGACGAAGGUCUUCGGAUUGUAAACCUCUUUCAGCAGGGACGAAGCGAAAGUGACGGUACCUGCAGAAGAAGCACCGGCUAACUAUGUGCCAGCAGCCGCGGUAAUACAUAGGGUGCAAGCGUUGUCCGGAUUUAUUGGGCGUAAAGAGUUCGUAGGCGGUUUUUCGCGUCGGAUGUGAAAACUCAGGGCUCAACCCUGAGCCUGCCUUCGAUACGGGAAGACUCGAGGACGG